Molecule: long non-coding RNA, 69 nt
Organism: Etheostoma cragini (Arkansas darter)
Lineage: Eukaryota; Metazoa; Chordata; Actinopteri; Perciformes; Percidae
Exons: 3
Source: RefSeq, a predicted model, not a curated record
AUUACCCUUAAAAUAGGCUCGUUCGAGAUGAACUGCUACUCGCCUGUAAAGUAGACGAGCGCAGGGGGC